Non-coding RNA from Mustela putorius furo (domestic ferret), 102 nucleotides. The record is from Rfam. NCBI's taxonomy places the organism in Eukaryota, Metazoa, Chordata, Mammalia, Carnivora, Mustelidae.
GCUUGCUUUGGCAACACAGAUACUAAAAUUGGAAUGAUACAGAGGUUAGCGUGGCCCCUGCACAAGGAUGAUAUGCAAAUUUGUGAAGCAUUCCAUAUUUUU